Molecule: non-coding RNA, 183 nt
Filed under: Paenibacillus soyae
Lineage: Bacteria; Bacillati; Bacillota; Bacilli; Caryophanales; Paenibacillaceae
Description: 6S RNA
Rfam family: 6S / SsrS RNA
About the family: E. coli 6S RNA was the first non coding RNA to be sequenced, but its function was unknown until recently.
Source: RNAcentral
UACAUCCUGCGAUGUUCGUAACGGCUCUUCGUUGUUUUGAACCAAUGGCUGUUUCACGGGAGACCUACAUUGCCAUGCGGCUGACACGCCCUCGAAAAGGGAUCUCAAAAGCAUCGCUGCGGACACCCACCUGCGAGAGCGGGUUCAGAAACAUGUGAGUCGGACGGCAUAGGCGGGUUUUCU